UACGGAGGGUGCGUAGCGUUAAUCGGAAUUACUGGGCGUAAAGCGCAUGCAGGUGGUUUGUUAAGUCAGAUGUGAAAGCCCGGGGCUCAACCUCGGAAUUGCAUUUGAAACUGGCAAACUAGAGUACUGUAGAGGGGGUAGAAUUUCAGGUGUAGCGGUGAAAAUGCGUAGAGAUCUGAAGGAAUACCGGUGGCGAAGGCGGCCCCCUGGACAGAUACUGACACUCAGAUGCGAAAGCGUGGGGAGCAAACAGGAUUAGAUACCCUGGUAG
This 271-nucleotide ribosomal RNA is filed under the name uncultured bacterium. RNAcentral describes it as "partial 16S ribosomal RNA". It matches the Rfam family "Bacterial small subunit ribosomal RNA", at positions 524 to 793 of the family's 1533-position model. The record is from RNAcentral.